AAAACAGUUCUUGAGAGGGGAGUGGUUCGAUUCCGCACGGUGCAACAAUAAUGGAAGGGUAAGCCAAGUAGGUCUACGGGUCGCUGUCUU
Molecule: transfer RNA, 90 nt
Filed under: Cellulophaga phage Calle_1
Lineage: Duplodnaviria; Heunggongvirae; Uroviricota; Caudoviricetes; Pervagoviridae
Description: tRNA-Ser
Source: RNAcentral